This is a non-coding RNA of Acanthosepion pharaonis, 111 nucleotides long. NCBI's taxonomy places the organism in Eukaryota, Metazoa, Mollusca, Cephalopoda, Sepiida, Sepiidae. The record is from the annotation of a GenBank genome assembly.
UACGGCCACAUCACUUUAAACAUCUGUUCUCGUCCGAUCACAGGAGUUAAGCAACGUCGAGUCUGUUCAGUACCUAGAUGGGUGACCCCUUGGAAAUACCAGGUGUUGUAA